UGGCCGGGCACACUUUUCUGGGUCAUGCCCGGCCUCGAAAUAUCGACACGUCGCAGCCCCACCUAAGACUCAACAGAGAGGCCAGCCCGCCGGUCUAACUCCUAAGCACAAAGGGUUCGUGGACCCAGUUCCCCUUCGCGCUCCUGCACGAUGCGUGGGCGGCCGACAUCAGUCCUAGCAUCCCUUAAUCACAAGCGCGAUGCAUCUCGGGACCACUCGGGCGGGCGCCGCUACAUUGCUGACAUCUGAAAAGCUUCGACUGAUACUGCGGCGUCGAGUACCCAUAAUUCUUCCCGCGUAGCCGGUUAGUACGAAAAGGACUCCAACCAACCGAGAUCAAAUACCCAAAUCCAUUAUCAUUUUAAUUAGGCCAUCGACACAAUCUCACGGGAAUCCACCCGUCUAUCUACUAAUCACCAAUGAUCCCAGUAACAUGGUCGAGUAACUGUGUGGUUGUAACAUCGGGGGGAAUCCGAGGUAUCACCCUCGUUGGAUUCCGAACGAUGUAUCUGUCGAGGUGGGCUUAGAGGAAUCACCCUGGGGUCCCACACUUGCGCGUUUGCACGACAGAGGCAUCGUCGGGAAUGGCGAAAGAGGAAUCACCCUCGAUAACCACGACCGACUAGCUAUACUACAUAGAUAUCAUCAGGAGUACUUAGCGAGGUGUCACCCUCGGUACCCGAUAGUAUCUCUGUAGUGUUGUACAAAUAAGAGGGGUGUAUGUGUUGUGUCGGGUCUGGCUCGUCGAUCAGGGAUCGAGAUUUGAAAACAAAGCGGGGCAACUGGACUACGGGGUCAGAGGGGAUGACUGCUCCACCUAUACUAAGAAGAUUAAAGGUACAAUAUUGAAAGUAGCAGUUCAUCAAAAAUAGGCUAUGCAUCAGAUAUAGGAGCUAACUACAACAGUAGCAAAAUACUAAUGCAAGCAUGAGCGAGAAAGACAUAGGCGAUAUAGGAAUGAUCAAUGGGGUUUGCUUGCCUUGCUGCUCUGCGGCAAAGGACUGAUCGGCAGGGUCGUAGAUGUACCCGGCAGCAGCGUCAGUCUCGGGGUCUACCGGGAAGAAGAGGGGGAAGAAACGAUAAAUAAUAGCAACGGUGCAACACAAUGCAUGACAUGGCAAGAUGCAGGCUAGACAUGAGCUAACGUAGCAACAUCCGUCAUAGACGGGUCGGAAGAAUAUGUGACGAUAUUUUCCGGGUCUCGGGCUACUACCGGUCGGACGGAAAACGAUGGAAAAGUUCCACGUUUGGUAUGCUAGGGACGCGUGAUAGACGAAUCGGCCGUGUAUCCGGGUUCGUCUUGUUCUGUUGAUCAACUUUCAUGUUAAAAAUAUUUUAAUCUGACUUACGGUUUAAUUAGUAUUAAUUUUUAAAGUUUUAUUAAUUAUUUAGGAAUUAAAAAACAUAUUUAAUUAAAUUGAUUAAAAGCAAUUAUGACAUCAGCAGUUGACUGGUCAACUGACCAGUGGGUCCCGUGCGUCAUAGACUCAGUUUUUAAUUAAGAUUAAAUAGCAUAUUAAUUUAGUGGGGGACCCACGUGUCAUACUCUAAUUAUUCUAAUUACCUAAUUAAUUAAAUAAAUAAUUAAAUAAAUAAUAUAUCUAUUUAUUUAUUUAUUAAAAACAUAUUUUUAUUUUUACAUUUUAAUUUUCACUUUUCUUAUUUAAUUUUCUUACACAGGGUGUGGGGCCUCUGUCGUAGACAGCGGGGUGGGCUGGCCCCACCGGUAAGUGGCACCAUGGCCACACACACAAUUUACACACACAUAUUAAACAUAACGUAUUUUCCUUUCUCUUAUACAAUACAUAAAAAAUACAUACAUGCAUCUCAUACACACAUACAUACACAUAUACACCUUUUUAUUUUCCUUUUCCCUUUUUUUAUAUCUAACACCUUUGUGCUAACUCUCUCCUUUGUGUGCUCAUCUCUCAACAGAGAGAAAGGAAACGUCUCCAUCAUCACCUACUCGAUCCUAACGACGUCGGAAUGGAGCGCCGAUUGCCGGAAUGGAACCAGGACGACACAAGGAAGGAGACGGUGGGAGGAGCCCGAAAAGGGGCUCACCGGUGUUGACGAGAGGGCCCGGUGUAGCCGGAGUUCUCGGGGAGGGGCGGAGGAGAUGGCGUGGAGGAGGACGAGGCGGUGGCAAUGGCGCGGUUCCGGUGACGUUGGUGACGAGGAGGGCCGGACGGAGGGCCGCCGUGAGGAGCCCCGGUGGGGAGGGGCCCCGGGGAUGGGGCCGCCGUGGAGAGCUCCGGUCGGUGGGGGUGAGGGGCGCUGCCGGCGUUGGUUGAGGGAGGGACGCCGCUGAAAGGGGGGUCCCGAUCGCCGGAGUUAGAGGAGGGAGAGGUUGGUCUCAGCCGCCGGGAGAGGGUCCGGUGUUGGAGGUGGGGGGGGGGCGCCGGNNNNNNNNNNNNNNNNNNNNNNNNNNNNNNNNNNNNNNNNNNNNNNNNNNNNNNNNNNNNNNNNNNNNNNNNNNNNNNNNNNNNNNNNNNNNNNNNNNNNNNNNNNNNNNNNNNNNNNNNNNNNNNNNNNNNNNNNNNNNNNNNNNNNNNNNNNNNNNNNNNNNNNNNNNNNNNNNNNNNNNNNNNNNNNNNNNNNNNNNNNNNNNNNNNNNNNNNNNNNNNNNNNNNNNNNNNNNNNNNNNNNNNNNNNNNNNNNNNNNNNNNNNNNNNNNNNNNNNNAGGGGGGGGGGGGGCGCCGGCGGGAGGGUGUUGGUGCGGUUGGUGGGGAUCGGGCCAGAGGGGAGGCUCUCGUGAGGAGAGCGAUAGGUGAGGGGCUCUCGGUAGGUGGGGGGGCUCGAGAGGUAGGGGCCUCGUGGGGAGGCAGGAGGGGGGAGUGAGCGAGCGGNAUGGGCUGGAUGGGGGGGGGGGCUGGGCCAUUUUUGGCCCAGUUGGGCCAGGGGGUUUUCUUUUUUGUUUUUUUGUUUUUAUUUCAUUAUUUUAUUAUUAUCUUUAAUUACUUUCUUUCCUUCAUUUAUUUUACACAAAGCUUCUCUUUCAAAUAUAUAGGGAUUACCUAAUAAUUUCAAAAGUGCCCGAUUCACAUUUAUAAUUCGUUAGAGAAUUUUUAUAACUCCCCGACGUUUCUAUUUCAACAACAUAAAACCUUUCUUGUUCGACUUUAAGUUUAAGUUUCGAAUUUUAAUUUGAUUUCAACUAACAAUCGCAAGAGCAAUGAUAAUAAUCACCAUGGCGUGGCAUCAUUAGCAUGUGAUCACUGUAGCUUAACUACAAUCAUCAGUGUAGCAAAAGUUGAGGAUGUCACAUUAUUACUGUGAGAAAUAAUUAUCUAUACUCUAUUGCAUCACUCGUUCCUCUUAACGAAAAAACCGAACGUAGAUCACAAGUAUCACAUGUCACAUGAAAAGUUCUGUUUUUAUCAUUUACAUAGUCGAGGACGAGCGUGAAUUAAUCUUGGGGAUGUUGAUAUAUUUCCAAUGUAUCUAUAAUUUUUUAUUGUCUCAUGCUACUAUCAACCUUGGAUACUUUAUAUGCAAUAAUAUACUACUUUAUGUCAUUUUGGGAACUAACCUAUUAACGUAGUGCUGAGUGCGAGCUCCCUUUUUUGUGUGUUUUGACUUUUUUCAGAAAAUCAAUACCAAACGAACUCCAAACCCAAUGAAACUUUUUGAUUAAUUUUUCUCGACCAAAAGACACCCAGGGAACCUUGGGAGCAGACCUGAGGAGCCACAAGGUAUCGACGAGCCCGGUGGCACACCUAGGGGGGUAAGGCUCGCCCCCUAGCUCGUGGGCCCCUCAUGGCACAUCUUAACCGAAUUUCGCUUGCAUAAAUUCUCAAAUAUUCCAGAAAUAUCAUAGACGUACCCGAAACACUUUUUCCGCCGCCGCAAGUCUCAAUUCUGCCGUGAUCCCAUCUUGAGACCUUUUCCUGUACCCUUGCGGAGGGGGAAUCGAUCAUGGAUGUUGUCUACAUCAACCUUGUUGCCUCCAUGAUGAUGUGUGGGUAGUACACCAUAGACCUCCGGGUCCAUAUCUAGUAUCUAGAUGACUUCUUAUUUCUCUUUGAUAUUUAAUACCAUUUUCUAUGCUAUUCUCACAUUGAUCUAUCCGAUGUAAUAUUUUUUUGUGGUGUGUUUGUUGGGACCCAAUGAAUUGUGGGUUUAUGAUCGGAUUAUUCACUGAAAGUAAUUGAGUCUUCUCUGAAUUCUAUUAUGCAUGAUUGUUUUAUCUUCUUAUUUCUCACUAAUCCAACUAUUUGGUUUGGCCAACUAUAUUGAUUUGUGUUUAAUAGGAGUGAUGCAUUGUAGUAGGUUCAAUCUUGCGGUGCUCUAUAUCCCGGUGACAGAAGAGGACAAUACCCAUAUUUUUGUUGUUGCUACUAAGGAUAAAAAUAUAGGGUAUGAACAUAUUGCUUGUCUUACUUUGUCUACAUGUGACCUUGCUCCAAGCAUUACUCUGUUUGCAUGAACUUAAUACCUAGAGAGGCAAGCAUAGAAGCACUCUCCAAGUUGAGUAAUAGUAGAAGAUGCAGAAUCAUUUCGGUCCACUUGUUUAUGAACAUGAUGCCUAUAUGCAUGAUCAUUGCUGUGAUUAACAUUAUAACUAUGUGAUUUUCUAUCAAUUGCCCAACAAUAUUUUGUCUACCCACCGUAUACUUUGCUUUCGAGAGAGAAGCCUCUAGUGAAAACUAUGGCCCCCAGGUCUAGUUAAUCGAUGUGCUAAAAACCUAGUAACCUCAUUGCCUUUUAUCACUUUUAUUUUACUUUUACUUUUACAUAUCUAUCUCUAUCAGAAUUAAUCGUUGUAAGUAACGAGUCCAAGGGGAUUGACAACUCUCUUGCCCGCGAUGGGUGCAAGCAUUUGGUUUUGUGUGUGUAGGUGCUGAUGACGGGAGUUUGCCAUGAUUCUUCUAUUGGUCUGAUAAAUCUUGUUCUCAACUCACGGAAAUACUUACCUCUACUAUAUUGCUUCACCCAUCCUCUUCGAGGAAAAAACAAACACAACUCACAAGUAGUAGUGCUCCCGAACAUGCAACCUUCAUCGCCGCCGCAUGGUUCCAUUCAUCACGUUGGAGCCAUUGAGACUCGGCCGCCAAUGCCUUGCGGUCAUGGGCCACCUGCUCACGAGAAACCCUCUCCUACUCGAGCUUUAAUCGAAGCUCCGCCUCAUACUCGCAGUUAGAAGCGGCCUUAGUCGGUCCCCUGCGGCGAUGCUUGCCACCGGAAGCCGCCUUGCUGGAGGAUCCAUGGGAUUUGUCCAUGAGGACAUCGUCAAGGAAGGAGUGUGAGAGAGGGGGAGGAUGCGAGGAGAAGACGAUUCGGUGGAUGGGGAAAUGGUAGCGGCGGAUGUCAGAAUGAGAUGGGGGAAACCCUACCAGAGAGGAGCGGUUGCCUUUAAGUAUCCACACAAAGACACACGUAUGCCAGCCCGUAGGCCGUGAAGGAGGUUGAGACGGAAUGGGCGGAGGGCCCAGCUGAUUUAGAGGCCCAGUUAUCGAGAAGGGGAGAGGUGGGAAUGAUAGCUGCUCGAGGACCCCCCGGACCAACAUGCCUAAGAGCAGACACAACAGAAGACGAACCCCUGCCUAGGGUUUCCUUCGAAUGGAUGAGCGGUACUAUCGGCAUAGCCAGGUCUGUCUCCAACGCUGAUGAUACCACUACAAUGUACACCAGCAACCUGCACGGUGUUGGGGGCAGCCCCGUAGUCACAACCUCUGGUCCUCCACCCAAAAUUCCGAUAGAUGGGGAGGGGAGGGGAGCGUUUACAAGAUUGACGACGGCGGUGAUCCAUCGUGGUCCAGACCAGCUCCGCCACCAACAAAGGAAUUGAUUGUAUGCGGCCACCAGGAGUAAACUUCCUGCACCCCCCGGCCUUGACGCCGACAGGGUCACCGCCAUCAUCGCCCAUCGUCCUCGGAAUCCGACAACUUCCCAUCGAGAGACCAAAAGCGGUUAAAUUCCAGGCAACAACCCAAGCUAGGAGACACGCCAGAUCUCACCGAUCUGUGGGAGGAAGCGCCACCUGCAAGAGAAGAGGGUUGAGGGGGUAGGGAAGGUGAUGCAAAACGCUGAGGGGGGUGUACAAAGCGAGGGAGCGGCAUGGGGCAGCAGAGAUCGGUCACAAGAGGGGUUGAGGAGGGAGGAUAGAGGGAGAGGGAGAAGGGGCGCCAUCGUACAAUCAACUUUUUACCCCUAGGGUUGCAGUUUGCCUUACUAAGUUCCCCAAUCCAUGUGAUAAAAUAUUAUUUUUGAAACAGAGGCAAAACUUUCGAUGGGCCGAGAGACUGAAGAUCAUCCAUCAAGCAGUGAGAGACGCCUUGCCUAUGGCGCUACUCUUGCCUUUGCCCAUUUUCUUUUGUUUGCCUCUUAUUGGUGUCCCCAUCAGGAGGCUAGCAAUCGGCCUGCCCAAACCAAGUCUAGCAACCUCCACACCGGCGAGCAAGUCACAAAGUUCUUUCACAAAGAGAGCGUUUGAAUUUGGAGUAGGUGCAACCAUAUUGGGCUCAGUGGUCAUGCCACUCACAAACAUCACUUGCUCGAUGAUUGGAGGCGAGGGAAGGGCAUCAACAUCUAAAACUCGGCGCUACAUGGCACCGAGAGGUAGGCUGGCUGGCGCCUGACACCCGAUGGACUUAGACGAGCGAGAGAUUGCAACGUCCAAAUCAUCACACCCCUCGGCAUCAAGUAUCUGGCUAGACUCCAGCGGUGAAGAUGGUGGUAAGGCCACAAUCAAGAUGGGGGGGGUCUACCUUUAGUUGCUCGAUGGGCAGAGGCAGAACCUGGCCCUCACACAGCUCCCGCAGCUCAUACAUGGUCACCAACAUCGGAGUCACAACCACAUCAUUGUCCAGUCCCUCAGAGGCUGACGUCGGCGAAAGGGUGCAAUACAUGAGUAAUCUGCAACACAGGUGGUGCCAUGGAGAGCUUGCCCACUGCAACCUCGACACACUCCAUGAAGCUCUCCAUCUGCAGCAUCCAACCUUGCAUGAAGCCAAUAACAUCACGCAGAGGUUGGACCGUCUCCUCAAGCUGGAAGGAAGCCACACCAAGGAGCUUAGAACGAUGACGAUGAAUUGCUUCACACACGCCGUCGUCGGCUACCAAAUCAUCACUUCCGGCUACUCGGUCGGGUGUGACUCAUGAUGCCAACCCAUGCGGAGCUUGGUAGGAGGCACUGACGCGACGCAAUGGCAAUGCCCGGACUUACUAGUCCGGGCAUUGGCUCCCUGUUCUGUCCCUGCUUGACUUCGUGGUAGAUGUUGCAUAUGCCUUCUUACUGGCCACUGUGCAGCAAUUUGUCGAGAUCCUUUUAGGUGCUCUCGAUGUGUUGAGAAUGGCAAUCGAACAUGUAAGUGCCGCAAUGCCAAGCGUCUCUUUAACUUAUUGGAAAGUCCUAUCGUGUCAUCGUUGCCGGGCCUCCCCAUGCUCCAGCUCCUCGCAAGGUCGAGAAAGAAGCAUCGCCCCUAUCAAAGACGUUUUGCCGUGAUUCUUGGGCAUCUAUCGUUACUGCUCUUGCUGGCUCUCUAGCCUUGACUGAUAAUCUCUGUGUGGCCCGCCUUGGAUCCAUGUGAUAAUUGAUGACUUCGUGUUCGGUGUAUUGGACGCCGAGCUAGCGUUUUUCCACCAGCAGUCGACAACGUAGAAGCUUCUUCCAGUCCUCCCAUCGAUGCAGCUGUACAAGGCUGACCAACGCGAGCACUACACCCAAAAAACCAGUAGUAGUACAACCACAUGAUGUUCAGCAGCCCCCGGCCGCUGCACUGGUCCCAGCAGCAGCCAUGUGUAUGUGUACACCGUCCCAAGAAGUCUGCGCGUAUUGCCAACGCCCUGAAAAGAACUUGUUUGUGCAUACGUGCGGAAUUCACGUAGAGAUAUGUACCCUGGAGGCGAGGAUGAUAACGAUGCGCCACAUGCGUCCAUCGUCCAGUCACCGCAUUAUGGGCCGUCAAAUUUUCUCCCCACAAAGACGGGUGCAACACGGAAAAGUAUACGCCCGCGACGAACUGUGCAUAGUCACAGCGUUAUCCCCGCGCCGGGCACCCGAGCAGAGCUGCUAUAAGUACCGCUGCAGGCCCAGCAGCUUCACCACACAUGCAUCCUACAAGCUCUCGUUGAGCUAUACAUUACACGAGCUUGUCAGCUGAAGGUGAGCUAGUUAGCAUGGCGCGGUAUGCUGCGCUCGCCGCGCUCCUGCUCGCCGUGGCGGUGGGCGGCGCCGCGGCGCAGGGCGUGGGCUCCGUCAUCACGCAAUCGGUGUACGCGAGCAUGCUGCCCAACCGCGACAACUCGCAGUGCCCGGCCAGGGGGUUCUACACGUACGACGCCUUCAUCGCCGCCGCCAACACCUUCCCGGGCUUCGGCACCACCGGCAGCGCCGACGACGUCAAGCGCGAGCUCGCCGCCUUCUUCGGCCAGACCUCCCACGAGACUACCGGUACGUCAAUCAGUCAGUCAGUGUUGCUUUCGGAACUCGAUCGUGGCUGCCUUGAUUAACCGUACGUGCUUGUGCAUGGAAUGCCAACGUUGCAGGAGGGACGAGAGGCGCCGCCGACCAGUUCCAAUGGGGCUACUGCUUCAAGGAGGAGAUAAACAAGGCCACGUCUCCACCCUACUAUGGACGGGGACCCAUUCAAUUGACAGGGUGAGAAAAAUUGCAAAUUAUUAUAGCACACUUUGAAGCAUCUUCUACAUGCAAAAUAUUUCCUCUGUAUCUAAAUAAUUAUAGUUGUUGCCAUGAAAAGAACAAAGGAAGUACCGUUUCAAAAAAAUAAAAUAAAUACCACACACUGAAAUAAUCUGUAGAAAAAUCUGCUUGAAAAGUACAGCAGUGUUGACAUUCAUUUUCGCAUGCAAUCAUUCUAGUAACAACAAAGACCCGAGGCCUUGGUUGCUUUGCGGAAAAGAUUGUUCUGAUGAACCAAUAAUUCCUUGUGCGAUUGACCAGGCAGUCCAACUACGAUCUCGCCGGGAGGGCGAUCGGGAAGGACCUUGUGAGCAACCCGGACCUGGUGUCCACAGACGCGGUGGUGUCCUUCAGAACGGCCAUUUGGUUCUGGAUGACGGCGCAAGGCAACAAGCCGUCGAGCCACGACGUCGCCCUAGGCCGCUGGACGCCGACGGCUGCCGAUACAGCUGCAGGUCGGGUGCCUGGAUACGGCGUAAUCACCAAUAUCAUCAACGGCGGGCUCGAGUGCGGCAUGGGCCAGAACGACGCCAACGUCGACCGCAUCGGCUACUACACGCGCUACUGCGGCAUGCUUGGCACGGCCACCGGAGGCAACCUCGACUGCUACACCCAGCGAAACUUCGCUAGCUAGACACUAUGGAUAGUGUAUGCACGUGUUACGAAUAAAGGGCUACACUCAUGAAUAAGGGGCAACACAUAUCCCAUCAUGAAAUAAAUAAUUCGAUAUGUGAUCCAGUUGAUCGUGUCGUAUGAUAAUACGAGUAAGUUGUUGUAACAAAUUAUGUAAAUUGUUCAAUAAAAUCAUAUCAUUACAACUGGUUUUUUAAAUAUGGUACACUAAAAAUAAUCCACAUACACGAGUAUACACUCAUCUCUAUAAAGAUACGCAUGCAUAUCCUAUUCUAUCCAUAUGAGCACCUUCGAAAGACUGGCCCAACACAUCAUCUUGAUAUUGACAAAGUCAUCACAUAUACCUUCAUAGUCGACGGAAAUGUCUCUUCUCACUAAACGCACAUGGUUGAAAACCAGAAAUAAAUGAAGAAAAAUAGGAACACUAAUGUCAUGUAUGGACUUGAACUCUAGUGAAUAUACAUAUCACUCUCUUUCUAACCAUCAAAGCACAGAUUGGUAUCAUUGUUUUAUUUUGUUGUAUGUGAGAGGAUGUAUAGCAGACCAACUAACGUGACAAAUAUUUUACUUGUUUAAUCAGUUCUUCAUAACAAAAAGGAAAGAAAAGUCAGGAUUUAUGAAAUGAAUGAGGCUAACGCGUGUUUCGUUGCAUCGGUCUUCACUCGUUUUUUUAGAAAAGGAGGAUGAUCCCCGGCCUCUGCAUCUGGAAGAUGCAUGCGGUCAUUUUAUUGAUUAUUCUCGAGGACCUUACAAAGCAGUACAACAAUAUGCCUGAAUCCGCCAUCUUGGCAACAUCUGCCGCUACUCCUAUCCAUAUGAUGAAGGGGUGCAAGCUGGACCAAAUACCCAGACCUCUCACCUAAGCCUAACAUCUAAAGCCGGAUACCCUGACCGAGCCACAUACCGGGUCCGGGGCACAAACCGGUCCGACGCACUCACAUGUGUCGUCGCCGCCAUCUUCCAUUGCUCCAUCUUCAGAUCAGAUUGAGGUACCAGCCUUGGCAGGUGCCUCCUCCAUCGACGCCAUCAUGAUGCCAAACGACGACAUCCACCAACGCGAGUCCAUCUCCAAGCAACUGACGAAGAUCCAUGCUAGGAUAGGGCCGCAUCACCGCCGUCGCCCACCACCCACAAGCGCCACCCAGCCCCAAGGUUCCCAAAGCGACGCCUUCAAGAAGGGAACGGCGCCGUGAGCGCCGCCGCCGCCCAACAAAGUUAGGGCUUUCGCCGGGAGACCUAGGGGAAGGGGAAGUGAGGGGAUCAGUCCAUACCAACGCCUCCAAGGAGGGGAACGACGCCCUCGGGCGUCGCCGUCGACGCGGCCGGCCAUGGCCGACCAGGGAUUUCGCCCGACCUAGAUCCCCACCACCAGCAGCACCUCCUGUACAAAACCGGCAAUCCAAGGAAGCGCGGCCCGACCAGGCUGGCCCACACGCCGAACAGGGAAGGAGGGGAGGCGCUAGAUCGCGCGCACCGGCCACCGCAAAAGCCGCCACCAGACGUCAGCGACCACCGGAUCCCGCCGCCCGCGUGGCCGAGACGCCGGAUCCACCUCCCGCACGGCUGCUAGCCUACCGUGCCUCGCCAAUGAAGCCGCCGUUCCAGAUCCGGAACUCCACAUGCAGAGGCAGGGUAACCUAGGCCCCGCCGCCACCAUCCUUGGCGCCCCGGGCUUGCCCGGCGGCUGCCUCAGGCGGCGGCGAGGAAGGGAUGGGGAGGGGGAGGCGGCUAGGGUUGGGAUGGAGGGAGCGUGGGAUUAACUUUAUAUAUAUAUCAGUUUACUGCAGACAGUUGUUUGAUUUUGGCUUUAUCAGUUGUCUUGAGUUUUAGUUAUAUUUUGGUGGUGGUUUUUUCCUUUCAUAUAUUUUGUUGGCUUUUGUUGAAAAUGAUUUUUUUAGAUGAGAUUAGAGUUGUUCGAUGUGGGGUUUUGGGGUCUUCAAACCUUUCGGCCUUGGAGUCAGCCGAGGAUGGUUUCAUGAGCCCUUUGGGAGCUCUCAUUCCAUACUAAAAUUGUAGAAUCGCUCCUAAGAGCAUCUCUAAUAGGGCAGCCUCUUUUCAAUUAUAGGGCAGGCAAAAUCGAGAUAUAGGACAGCAAAACAACAGUCGUUUUACCAGCAGCCCAAGAUAGGGCAGCACCCGCCCCAGCAGCCACUACUAAGAAAAGGGCUAUAGAUGAUAUAGAUAUUAAUGCCGCACCACACAAGCCGUGCGCCACUACUAUAUAAUAAUGGCGUACCAUGUGAGGUGUGCCAUUAGUGUGGUGGAUAUUAAUGGCGCACCACACUCUCGGUGCGCCACUACUAUAUAUAUAUAUAUAUAUAUUUUUGCAAAACUACUAAUGGUGCACCAGCACCUGGUGCGCCAUUAGUAACCUGGUUACUAAUGGCACAUAUGUUAGUAGUGCGCCACUACUAUAAAAAAAAUUGGUUUUUUUUUGCAAACUACAAAUGGCGCACCAAAGCUAGUGCGUCAUUAGUAAGCAGUGUUACUAAUGGCGCAUCUAUUGGUGGUGCACCACUACUAUUUUUUUUACAGAACUACUAAUGGUGCACCAGAGGAGGUGCGUCAUUAGUAACCAGGGUUACUAAUGGCGCAUAUGUAGGUGGUGCGCCAUUAGUAACCUGGGACCAGCUAGAUAUUUUGGACAACCACCUACCACACUCACUUUCCCCACUUUCAUUCUCUCCACCUCCUCCUCCAAGCUUGUCUCAGGUGCCUCCUCCUCCUCACCUCAUUUGCAUCAUAGAUUCACCCAAAUUAAGUGGUUAAAUUACCUUUUUUUGAUAGGUAAGUAAGGGGAAAGCUUUUAUGUUGUAGAUCUACUUUUUUCUCCCUCCAACAACGUGCACAUGCACUUUUUAUGGCCUAGCUAGAUCUACGUAUGUUUGUUGUGUUGCAUAUGUUUGUGGUGUUGCAUAUUUGUUUGUGUUUGCAGGUACCGGUAUUUGAAAUGCGAUAGUUGCCAAUAUUUUCCCGGAAUGUUGAUUCAUUUCCGUUUCGGUGAGAAUUUGGCACUAUGCAUUCUUUUUUGUCCUAUUUUUAGGCAAAGUCAUGCCAAAAAAAAAUUUUGGUUAUAAAAUAUCAUUUUGCUUUACCCCGCACGCGACCAUGGUCCGCACGAUGACCGAAGGCAUCGUGAAUAGGUUUUUGAGCUCCGCGAAGGCCGAGAUGCUUCAAAAGAACGAGACGAAGAUAAGAUGUCCGUGUCGAAGAUGCAAGCUGAAGAGCCUUAUGGACCCGGAUUCCGUAAAGGUGCGGGACCACCUGCUCUUGCGUGGUUUCAUGGAUGGCUAUCGGUGGCAAGGUGAUGAAGAUGAUUAUGAAGUCGUCCAUGGGGGCCGGGAAAGAAAUGAGGAAGGGCAUGAGCAAGACAACCGCGGCGAGGGCGGGCGAGAAGACGAAGAAUCUCCAGGACACAGUCAUCAUGUAGAAGAUGCCGGACAUGAUGAUGAGGAAGAUGCCGGAGCAGACGAAGGGCAUGAUCAUGAAGAUGAAGAUGCCGGAGCAGACGACGAUGGACCAUCCAUGCCCUGGGUGCAGGACCCUCAUAUUCAAGAGCUGCUUCUCAAGCAGACGGAUAACGCAAGAGCUGCCGCCCGAGAGAAAGCCAAGCUGGAUCAACUUGAGAUAGACGCGGUUACUCCAUUGUAUGAAGGAUGCAGGCCCGAGGAUACCCGCCUGAAAGUAAUGCUCAUGGCUCUGGAGAUGAAGGUAAAACACAAAAUGACCGACGCAUGCUUCGACGAGAACAUGUCAUUCUGGCACGAACGUCUUCCCAAGGGGAACAACUGCCCGACCAGUUUCGAGGAGGCAAAGAAAAUCGUGUGUCCUCUGGAUUUACCGCACGUGAAAUACCAUGUGUGCAUGAACAAUUGCAUCAUUUAUCGGGACGAGCACGCGGAGUCUACCAUAUGUCCGGUGUGCAGCGUCAGUCGAUACAAGAAGAGGAAGAAAGCUCCUCAAAAAGUGGUGUGGUACUUUCAUAUCACUCCUCGUCUGCAACGGUAUUUCGCGGACCCUAAGGUAGCAAAGCUCCUGCGUUGGCACGCGGAUAGGGAGGAGAAAAAGCGAGAAGAUGACGGAAAUGAUCCGGAGAUAAAUAAAAAAGACAAGAUGCUGAGUCACCCUAAGGAUGCGAGCCAGUGGCAAGCGUUGAACUACGAAUACCCAGAAUUUGGGGACGAUCCAGGGAACAUCGUGCUGGGCGCGAGCACCGAUGGAGUCAAUCCGUUUGGCAGCCAGAAAAUCACACAUAGCACCUGGCCUGUGUUUGUGUGGAUGUACAACCUUCCCCCUGGUUGUGCACGAAGAGGAAGUACAUUCACAUGAGUAUGCUAAUUGAAGGGCCUAAACAACCAGGGAACGACAUCAAUCUAUAUCUGGGGCUGUUGAAAGAGGAGCUAGACACGCUGUGGAAAACGCGAGCCAAUACGUGGGACGCCGCAGAGAAAGAAUAUUUCCCUAUGAGAGCCGCACUGCUCCCGACGGUGCACGACUAUCUCGGUUAUGGAUAUGUCGCGGGGCAGGUGGUCCACGGGUUUUCUGGAUGCGUCAGGUGCAUGGAUGACACAAUGUAUCGCCAGCUAGAUAGAGAUCCCGGGUCUUCAAAAACCGUGUUCAUGGGACCUCGAAGGUGGCUUCGCAACGAUGACACAUGGAGAAAACGCAAGGAUCUGUUCGAUGGUGAAACCGAACCCCGAAGACGCCCCCUUAUGAGGAGCGGCGAGGAAAUAUACGAGCUGUUGAAAAAUUGGAAAAAGUGCCCACCGCCGGGAAAGGCGCUAGAGCCGGGAAAGAAGCGAAAGGCGCUAGAGCCGCUCCUGAAGGUAUGGAAAACGAGGUCUGUUUUCUGGGACUUGCCGUACUGGAAGAUCCUCCGUGUGCCUCACAGCCUUGAUGUCAUGCAUAUCAUGAAGAACGUGUGCAAGAGUCUGCUUGGUACCCUGCUCAACAUGCCAGAGAGGACCAAAGAUGGACCGAAAGCAAGGGCAGACUUGAAAUCAAUGGGCAUCAGGGAGGAGCUUCAUGCUAAUAAUGAUGAUGAUGAUGAUGAUGAGGCGAAGCAGGACACGGAAAGUCGUCGCAAAGGCAAAAAGUACAAGAAGACCGGAAAUGACUUUCCUCCCGCGUGCUUCACUCUAAGUCAGGAGGAGAUCGAUCAGUUUUUCACCUGCCUCAUAGGAGUAAAACUUCCUUACGGUUACGCGGGGAAGAUAAGCAGAUACCUAGACUCAGCGAAGCAGAAGUUUAGCGGGAUGAAGUAUCACAACUGUCACGUGCUGAUGACGCAGAUACUUCCAGUUGCAAUCCGUGGGAUCAUGGACGCGCACGUCCGUGAAAUGCUUUUUGACCUAUGCAACUUUUUCGACGUCAUCUCUCGGAAGUCGGUUGGCGUGAGGCAACUCAGAAGGCUACAGGAAGAGAUCGUGGUGAUACUAUGCGAGCUUGAGAUGUACUUCCCGCCCGCAUUCUUCGACGUUAUGGUGCAUCUGCUGGUCCAUAUCGUGGAGGAUAUCAUCCAACUCGGGCCGACGUUCCUGCACAUCAUGAUGCCGUUCGAAAGGAUGAAUGGUGUCAUCAAAGGAUACGUCCGCAACAUGUCACGUCCAGAGGGAAGCAUAGCCAGGGGCUUUCUGACCGAAGAGUGCAUCUCCUACUGCACGAAUUAUCUAGGCAUCGAGAACCUCGUUGGUCUGCCCGUCAACAGGCACCUCGGCAGGCUCGCAGGAUGGGGUCACCGUGAGGGUCGCCGCGAAAUGCAUGUCGACUUCGAGGGUCGACUCGCCGACUUUGAAAGAGCAAACCUAGUCGCGCUACAACACAUAGACGUGGUCGAUCCUUGGGUCGUAGAGCACAAAACCUUUAUUGAAAAGACGUACAAUGACCGAGGCCAACAGAGGACGGACGGAGAUAUAAUCAAAGAGCACAACUCAUGUUUAACGCGUUGGUUCAAGCAGAAGCUUUUGUCGUAGCCUUUACAUGAGGAUUCUUCCGCGGAAGAACAACUCAUAUUCGCCUUGUCACAGGGCGCCGAGCACAACCUGAUGAUGUAUGAGGCGUACGAUACCAACAGCUACACAUUCUACACCGAGGGAAAGGACAUGAAGAGCGAUGGUUAUCAGAACUCCGGGGUAACGAUGGAAUCCUACACCGGUAACGACAAGGACAGAUACUACGGAAGGAUCGAGGAGAUCUGGGAGCUGAGCUGCGCUGGAGAGAAGGUCCCGAUGUUCCGUGUCAGAUGGGCCAAGAGCGUCAUAAAAGAAGACCGGUAUUUCACCACCAUGGUUAUACCCGAAGCCAAAUCCAAGACCGCGGGCGCAAAAGUCACCGCGAAAAAUGAGCCAUGGGUACUGGCUUCCCAAGUGGACCAAUGCUUCUUCAUUACCGACCCGCCAAAGCCCAGUCGUGUUGUCGUGAGGAGAGGCAAAAGGAAGAUCAUCGGAAUGGAUGGAGUCGCCAAUGAGCAAGACUUCGACAAGUACGGCGACCCGAAGAUGGAACAUGACGACGAUGAUGAAGUACCAGCAUACACCACAAGAAGAAGCAGGACCACCCUACCUAAAGGACGUCCGUUCAAGAGAAGAACUCCAUUUACGAAAAAUAAGGGCAAGAAGAUUGUGAACAAAUAGCUAGCUAAGAUCGAUUAUAUUUAAAUUUGAUGAUAUUUUUUCAUAUUCAAUAUGAAAAAAUAUUGAAUAUUCAUGAGGACACUCGAUCUCGAUCCCCUCCAUCUCGAUCGCUAUCACCCCUCGCAAGAUCCCCCUCGCCGCCGAGCACCCCCCGCACCCUCCCCCGCUCCACCACCGUCGCCGUCGGCAUACUUACCACUAGAACACCUAUUCAGAAGAUACUAGGCACUUCUCAAAAAAAUACUAGGCACUUCUCAAACCAAGGUGCAACCAGCACAAGAAAACAAUGCAAAAAAAAUAAAAAUACUAGGCACUAGAUGUUGUUGUGAGGCACUAGAUAUUCAUAGGCAUCUAAUUGCAAACAUAAAAAAAAAUACUAGACAUCUACUUGCAAACAUAAAAAAAUUUACUAGGCACUUCUCAAACCAAGGUGCAACCAGCACAAGAAAACAAUGCAUAGAAAAAAAGGAAAAAAGAGAGGGGGGAAGAGGAUUCGAACCCGCAACCUCCUGCUAGGAGGCAAAACCCACGGACCACUGUGCUGCUACUUCGGAGGUUAACAACAUAGAGAAGGCGCACCUCAUAUACAUGCGCCAUUACUACAUAAAAAAACAUUCUAAUGGCGCACCGCUCGGGGUGCGCCAUUCCUAAGCCGGGCCGCGCCCUCCUCUCUUCUCCCGCGGCCUCCCCCUACCCCUUUCCACCAAACAGCAGCUCCCCCACCUUCGUCCACGCAGCCCACGGAGCUCUGGCGGCGCUAGGGUUUUCUCCGCCUCUGCCUCCGCCUCAGAUAGCCGAGGUGCGAAAUAUUAUCAGCCCCAACACACUCAAGAAGGUGGUCUCUGAGCAGAUGAACUGGAUCCCAUUACAUCAGCAGAAGAAGGGAUGAAAAAGAAAGACUAACAAGGGUGCGAGCCAGCCGGCACUGAGUACGAUCCGUGCUCUGGACGGGCCACCUUCACCUAAGGAUAUCUCGAGGAGGGUGCAUGUGGCGGGUAGGCCGAUGCUACCGACUAAUCUACUCAAUGCUGCAACUGGUGCUAUGCGGAGUCUGCAUGACAGUGUUCUUUGUUUGGAGAAGCGGCGUCUCUCCGAGAAUAAUGUGGCAUACCCGGUUUUCGUGGCCAAGGUGCCAGAGGGCAAGGGCUUUGUCGAUAGGCCAUCGGGGGUAUGAUCGUCCUGCGGUUUGUUGACAUCUUCGCUAUGUUUAACCUUCAUCCGCUGCACUACACCUUCGUUCGGCUAUUUUCGCUGAGUAUGGAGAUGCGGAUCAUUAGAGACAAGACCCCGAACCUAGUGAUAGUCGACCCCUUCUAUAUGCGUGCCAAGAUCUUGGGCAGCGCUGGGGACCGGCAAGUCACGAGUUCAUACCUCGAAGGCGUCAUUCUGGCAAACUCAGAAAAGGAUAACUUCCUCGUGCCUUACUUUCCCUGGUAAGUUAUCCCCUCAUCGCCACGUAACAUAUGAUUUCUUAGAUUUUGAUCGUCCUUUUUUUCUAACAUUCCGUGUUUUGUGCAGUGACACACGUUGCACACUCAUCCUCUUAAGUCUGAAAUAUUCCACGGCCACGUAUUUCGACUCGGACCGUCAGUCAAAAAAAGACUACACAAAUAUCAAGAAAGUUCUUGAUGAAGCUCUUCCCGGCUAUGCCAUAUCUGGAGGCACCUUCAGCAGGACAAGUCUCAGGCACGGCAAGCACGUGUUCACCCACAAUACGACGUUCGCCUGCGUCAAGCAGCCGCCUGGCAGUCAGAAGGAUGCCUACUACGCCCUCCAUCACAUGCGGGCGAUCAUACGGGAUAGUAAUCACCUUCGGCUACCAAAUAAUCUCAAAUAUUGGGCCGCACACUUGUCGGCAAUCCAGGAUGCGGACAUCAGACAAGAAUUCUUUCGCAUCCAGUCGGAGUUUGCAGAAAUCAUCCAUCAAGAUGUCCUUCGUACCUCGGGGCAGUUCUACCUCAGAUCUCCGCUGUCCUAUACUGAGAUAGAUACAAUGCUACAAAUGCAGGCUGACAACGACCGCAAUUUCAUGACCAUCACGAAAGAUGGCGGCUUCAUCCACGUUCCCGUGAAUCGCUACUAAUUCAUGUUGCAAUAUUAAACUUUAAUGAACUGGUAUGUCUCUUUGGUUUGGACAGUCGUUCAACUUAUAUAUAAUCGAUGCUAUUUAUUAGUAGGACCAUGAAUCGUGCUGUUAUAGUUGUAAUAUUAAACUUUAAUGAACUUGUAUGUCUCUGUGAAUUGCUACUAACGUUUUGUUUGGCUAGUGCAUAGAGAUGCCGUCGUAUGUCGUGUACAAGGGUAAGGUUCCCGGAGUCUACGACGACUGGGAGGAGUGUCGGAGACAGGUUCACCGAUUCAGCGGUAACAGUUACAAUGGGUACACCACAAGGGCGGAGGCGGAAGUUAGAUACGCGCGCUAUCUACGGGAGAGAGGAGGGAGCGUUGGAGGAACCGGAUGAAGACCAGUUUCAUUGCGAUUAUGCUCAUCGUGAUGACCGCAUCUCUCUUCUAUAUGUGAUGGUAGUUUAGAUGGUCGAUAUAUCAACUUGUAAUGUGAAGACAAAUUCGCUGCUCGCGGUCUCGAGACUUGUAGUAUUCUAACUUUUUUCGGUAUUUUAAAUUCGGAGACUAAUAUGAUGAAUUGUAUUCGGAGACUAAUCUUCUAUUGUAUUCGAUAAAUCUGUUGUUUAUAUGUUGUGCUAUCCAUAUUCUGUGCAAUAAUAUAUUUUGUAAUAUGUGCAAAUAUCAGAAAAAAUAAAAUAAAUACCUAAUAUUCAUACUAGUGACGCAUCACUCAGCACACUAGUGCGCCAUUAGUAAGCGAGAGCAUAUGGGUAAAUAUGGCCCUGGGAGGCAUACUAAUGGCGCACCACAAGCUAUACUAAUGGCGCACCAGGAUAUAUACUAAUGGCGCACCAGUAUCUAUACUAAUGGCGCACCGUGAGCAAUACUAAUGGCGCACCGUGAGCAAUACUAAUGGCGCACCGUGAGCAAUACUAAUGACGCACCGUGAGCAAUACUAAUGGCGCACUACCUGGUGCGUCAUUAGUAUACCAGAUACUAAUGGCGCACUUGUAAUGCGCCAUUAGUAAAAAAAUCUAAUGGCGUGAUGCUAGUGGCGCACCUAUAGUGCGCCAUUAGUAGCAAAAAAUGGUGCGCCAUUAGAAGGCCUUUUCCUAGUAGUGAGCUGCCCUCCAUGCUUGGGCUUCUUCCUCUUGUGCAAAAGCAAAAUCAAAGCAAUGUCUUCUUCAUCCUCCAAAUCGUAUUCCCCAUCGGAUGAAUCCUCAAUCAAAACCAUCUACAAACAAACUAGACCGUAUUAAAAAGUGUAAUCCUAAACUACAAACACAAAAAGCAAACAAAAAGUUGAAUACACAUUACCUCGAACACCUUGCGGGCGGCCGAACCGGUGGGUGGCAGCUGCGUCGCCGGAGCAAGCCUCUCCUAGUUGCUGCUGCCGUCGCUGGGUGUUGCAGGCGGCCAAGGGGAAGCAUAAGAGCGUCGUCGGGGUCGCGGCGGCGGCAUAAUCGGCGUCGGUGCCCCGGAUUCGUACAGCGGCGGCGGCGGCGGCAGAUCAACAAUUUAGGGCACUAAACCUCUUGCCUACUUGGGCAGCGGUAUUCCGACGACGAUGGGCAGCGGUAUUCCGGCAGGGGCGAGGUGCGGGAGGGACCGGCGGUGGACGGGCAGCGGAUUUUGGGCAGGGGCGCGGCCUACGGGCGGCGGAUUUGCGGCGGCGGCGGCGGAUUUGCACCGGCGGGGUCGAGGGCGGGAGAGGCUGGGAAAUUUUCGGGUGGCAGUUCGGCUGCGCGCGCGCGUCGUUGGGAAAAUAGGGCAGCCACACAAGUGUUGUAUAUUUGCAACAGUUGGACCAAAUUUAGGGCAGUGUUGUAAAAAAUAUAGGGCAGUUGAUGAAGAUAGGGCAGCUGUUGGAGCACGUUUUUGCCUCUUUUCUGCCCUAUAUGACAGUUUUUAUGCCCCACUGCCCUAUAUAGGGCAGCUGUUAGAGAUGCUCUAACACUCACAUAUGACGGUCACUAAACCUCUUGCCCACUUAGGUUGGCUCCCUGCUCAGCUUGCUCGUUUAGCUUUUUUUUCAGCUCGCUCGACUACUAGCUUAGAAAAAAAUACUGUCCUUUUUCUUAUUUAAAAAUGUUCUCUCUUCUGCUUCUUUCCCACGCCCCCUUGCAACCCUGUUCUUUCUUCUUCUUCUUCCCCAAGAAGAAAACAACGACCCUGUCAUGGAGAAAUCCUCAUUGAGACCGGCGGUGAGAGUGCUAAGCAUGAGCUCGUCGGAGAUUUUGGUGUCGAUGUCGCGAAGCUCAUCGGCGAGCAUCUUGAGCCGCAUGCAAUAGUCAACGAUGGUGGAGUCAUCCUGGUGGCACCUGAAGAGCUCUUGUUGCAAGAAAACAAGACACUGAAGCUUGUUAUCGGUGAAGAGCGCAUUGAUCUUGGUCCACACGGUGCAAGUAUCGUCGUCAUCGGUGACGACCGUGUGGAAGAUGUCCUUCAAGAUGGUUUGGUAGAACCACCGAAUGAGAGUGACCUCGAUGGCGGACCACUCCGGGACGCCCUUCAUGUACUCAGCGUCGACGAAGCCAUCUAUGUGUUCGGUGAGGUAGUACUCGCGGAAGACAAGGUUGAAGUAGGUCUUCCACGCGUAGUACGAGGAGGUGGAGGAGUCGAGGCGGAUGGGAACACGGGCAUCGAUGUUGAUGUCGCGGAUGGCUUCGACGAAGGGUGCAGGGCCGGCGAAGGGGUUGGUGCUGGAGGUGGCCGGCGAAUUCAUGGGGCCGGCUGCGGGGGAGAGAUGGCGAGCGGCGGCGGCGGCUCGGGUGGGAGAGGGGUAGCGGAAGCGAUGAGGCGUGCGGCAGCGGCGGCGGCUGCGAUAGGGUUUAGGUUAGGAACUUUUAGGAUGAUACCAUGUAGAGAGAGAUAUGUUUGGCAAUGCAACUCAUAAUAUUGAUUGAAUAUGCACAGAUAUACAGAAUACAAUAUGAACCUCUAUCUCAACUAUACAAAGGCUAGGAGAUAGACCAAACUAUGUACAUAUACACAUGCCCGACCCUAGGGGGGGGGGGGAGGNNNNNNNNNNNNNNNNNNNNNNNNNNNNNNNNNNNNNNNNNNNNNNNNNNNNNNNNNNNNNNNNNNNNNNNNNNNNNNNNNNNNNNNNNNNNNNNNNNNNNNNNNNNNNNNNNNNNNNNNNNNNNNNNNNNNNNNNNNNNNNNNNNNNNNNNNNNNNNNNNNNNNNNNNNNNNNNNNNNNNNNNNNNNNNNNNNNNNNNNNNNNNNNNNNNNNNNNNNNNNNNNNNNNNNNNNNNNNNNNNNNNNNNNNNNNNNNNNNNNNNNNNNNNNNNNNNNNNNGGGGGGGGGGGGAGGGGCGGCCGCCACGGGCCCCCGGAACCAGAGGGGCCCCCAACUCAGGUACGUGUGAGCGCCCCACCCCCAAUCUAUCGGAGACGCCACCAGAGCAGUUACAAAGUAGCUGCGGUAUGGCUCCGGGAAGAAGAAAGUCGAAACGGUAUUUCUUUUAGCUAAAUGGGCUUUGGGCCUUUGUUUCCUUUAGCUAAAUCGUGGUGUUAAGUGGUUGUGGGCUUCCUCUAAAAGAAGUAGUGGUGGGUUAUGUGUAAGAAAAAAUGAUGACGGGCCACACCAAGCUAGAGGAGGGAGAGGAGCACAUCGGUACAAAACUUAUAAAAGAAAGAAAAAAGAAGAUUGGUGAAUUCACAUGCCCACGUCUUGCCUGGUAUUACAACCCUGGCAAACUAAUAAGUUUUUCUUUUUUAUUGUAAAAUAAAUCUAUUUUUUUGCAAGUGUAGCAAACUAAUACUCUAUCUUGAUAAGAAAAAUAAACAUAUCAAAUUCAGUAUAUGUGCGGAGUCCCUAAAGAAAUGUAUCGUAGCGGAGAGACAAUAGCAACACGCACGGUGACGACGGACUGAUGACAUGAGCGUGCACUAUGGUCAUACUAUGAUAGCCAAAUAUGGAUGACUCAGUUGGUACUCUCGUCUUCAUAACUUUAUAUCAAUAAACACAAAUUGAAUUGAUUGUUCUACUUUGGUGUUAUGAAUUGAGAGUUGAUUGUUCUACUUUGGUGUUAUGAAUUGAGAGUUGAUUUUCUACUUUGGUGUGAAUAUUCAUAUGUGUCAUUUUAAUUGUUAUUUUUCUUCUUUAUAUUUUUGUAUAUAUGAACUUUUUUUUUCAUCUAUUAAGUUUUUUCAUUCAUAAAUUUAUUGUUUGCUCGGUCAUCAUGCUUGCGCGUAACUUGCCUGCAAAUGGGUAAAUGCAAUUUAGAUGAUCUUCUGUAUUCUGCUGCCUCAUUGUGACGACAAACUCUUGAUAUCAUGUGUGUCCCGGUCAGAAAUGACCCAUCACCGCCCUCAACGAGUCCUACCAAGAUGCGGUAUUGUGCACAUUAGCCCCCGCAUCGUCGUGAUCUUAUAGAACACAUGUGUCUGAUUCUCUUUCCAUAGAUAUCAUCGUUAAAGACCUUGUGUGCAAUCUUUUUGUGUGUGUGUGGUGGGGGGCUACCGGCCUUGCAUAUACAUGCAAACUACUUACUCCGUUUUUAAAUAUAAGUCUUUAAAGAGGUUUCAUGAAUGAACUACAUAUGGAUGUAUAUAGACAUAUUUUAGAGUGUAGAUUCACUUAUUUUGCUUCUAUAUGUAAACUCCUAAUGAAAUAUCUUAAAAGACUUAUAUUUAGGAACGGAGGGAGUAUAUGUUUAACAAGAUCAUUGGGCGCGGACCGCGGAGGUAGCGUAUUUCCACGAGCCAGCCGGUGACGACGAUGUAGAAGCUUCUUUCAGGGCCCCCCGUCCAUGCGCUGUGCAAGUACAAGUCUGACCGACGUGAGGCGCUGUACCAAACGAAGCGUAGCAAGUACAGCCAGAAUCAUCUGAAGCUUAGCAGCCAGCGGCCGCCGGCCGUUACCUGCAGCAUGCAUGUGACUGCACACUACGCCAAGAAGUCCGCGGCUAUAGACAACGCUCUGAAAAUAACUCUUUUGCACAGACGCGUGGAAUUCCGUGGUGGCCCGUCGGAUUUUCCCCCCGCAAAUAAAGAUCGCGCGCGCAACGUGGAACAGCUGGAUAGGGUAGCACGAGCCACGAACGGUGCAUCGUCAGCGCAUUUCCCUGCGCUGCACCCGAGCUGAGCAGCUAUAAAUUGAGCUGCAAGCCCAGCAGCUUCAUCACACAGGCGUCUUGCAUAGCUCUCCUUGCGCUAUACUACAUUUCACGAGCCGACUAGCUGAAGGUGAGUUAGCAUGGCGAGGCCUGCUGCCCUCGCGGUGUGCGCCGCCGCGCUCCUGCUCGCCGUGGCGGUGGGCGGCGCCGCGGCGCAGGGCGUGGGCUCGGUCAUCACGCGGUCGGUGUACGCGAGCAUGCUGCCCAACCGCGACAACUCGCUGUGCCCGGCCAGGGGGUUCUACACGUACGACGCCUUCAUCGCCGCAGCCAACACCUUUCCGGGCUUCGGCACCACCGGCAGCGCCGAUGACAUCAAGCGCGAGCUCGCCGCCUUCUUCGGCCAGACCUCCCACGAGACCACCGGUACGUCAGUCAGAGAGUGUUAAUUACUUGUUUUCGAUUGUUGCUUUCAACAGAAUUCGUGGAACUUUUGAUUCGGAUAUGAAGGGCUUGAUUGAAUCGUGUACGUGCUUGUGCAUGCCGUGUCGACGUGUAGGAGGGACGAGAGGCGCCGCCGACCAGUUCCAAUGGGGCUACUGCUUCAAGGAAGAGAUAAGCAAGGCCACGUCUCCACCCUACUAUGGACGGGGACCCAUCCAAUUGACAGGGUAAGCAAAAUCCCAUGUUAUGGCCUAUAUGGCUACAUGACAAUCUCUAAAGCAUCUUCCACAUGAAAAACAAGUAUAUUGGUCAACACUGAUAUCACAGACUGAAAUAAUCGGUAGAAAAAAUCUACUUGAAAAGUACAGCAGUGUAGUUGACAUUCUAGCUAGCCGCGCUAAUCCCGACCUGAUCCAAAUAAGCUUUCGCUUUCGCGUGCAAUAUACAGUUAUUAAUAACAAUAUAAAUACUACCAGGCUUCGGCGAUGAGAUUGUUCUGAUGAACCUAUAACUCUUCCUCGUGUGAUUGACCAGGCGGUCCAACUACGAUCUCGCCGGGAGAGCGAUCGGGAAGGACCUUGUGAGCAACCCGGAUCUGGUGUCCACGGACGCGGUGGUGUCCUUCAGGACGGCGAUGUGGUUCUGGAUGACGGCGCAGGGCAAC
RNAcentral lists this long non-coding RNA (24146 nucleotides) under Hordeum vulgare. RNAcentral describes it as "long non-coding RNA (HVUL_LNC001532)". The record is from RNAcentral. Lineage: Eukaryota; Viridiplantae; Streptophyta; Magnoliopsida; Poales; Poaceae.